AAACAUUCACAUGUAAUAGGAGCAAGACAUCAUCGAUGGAUACCAAGACAAUAGUACAACACAUCUCCAUAGCGGCCAGAACGAUAGUAAACACAAUUAAAGGAUGGAAAUGUUCAUACAUGGUAAAUUGAAGGAUGCAAUGUCCAUCCAUGCAAUGUUCGUACAAGGAUGGAUAGACGCGCCGUCGUGUUCACAAAAGAAGAGGGAGAUCACACGGUUGUUUACAUGGUACAUCACAAGAGCUGGUGGCUUCAUAUAUCACCGGGUACUUGCCAGAGUUAGAAUAGGUGCAAAGCCAUGGCCGUGGUGUGAAGAAAGCAAUUGGUGCAAACACCUCAUGCUCUUGUGCCUGAGACGCCAAACAAUUAGAUAGGUAUAAUAUAUUUGAAAACAGAAUGUGCCAGGCAUGCAAGCUCAAAAAUAAGAAUCCAGCCACCCACACCCAACACAAACUCGCAUGUCCUCUUCGUAGCCGUUGCACUGUGUCAUGUGAGGCACGACGAGUUUUCAAUUACUAUAAAAGUGUAGUUCAGUCCUAAAUACUCCCAAAGAAUCCCGAGCGAUUAAACCAAAUGGAACAAAACUGCUAAACCGAGUAAACUACUUUGUUGAGUAAAUUAGUCAACACUCGGCAACCAUAUAACCGAGACAAUUAGUUCAUACAAUAUGCCAUUUGCUCUUUCUACAAUAAUGUACCAGGCAGUUUUAGCAUCAAAAUUUUUGUGCGAAGAACAAUGAAUGUAUAUGUGCUGAUAAUUGACCUGUAAAAUCAUAGUUAGUGUUGCUGCAUAAAUUCAUAUAAGAACAUCCACACAAACAUCUUAUGCAGACUAUACUGACACAAGCAAAAUACACCGACAAUGAGAAGCUAAGCCAACAGCAGAAUGUAGUCGCCAAAUUCAACAAUAAGAUUUUGAGUUCUGAAUGUAAGAUAACACAGAUACAUCUUGGGUUGAGGGUAUUUGAACAGAACAACCGAAGACAAAUCAUUAUUCAUAAAAUACAAUAGACAGAGUCUGAAUUGCAUUAUGAACUGUACGAGUACAAAUUAAUUUACCCCUGAAUAUAAUCAAAAGUGGCAGAAGCUAUCUAGUUGGCCAUUUUUCAAAACAGACCAACACAGAUUUACAACCCGUGAGAGUGAUUUAACUACUUGCCACAAAAAUCUCAUAUCAGAACAUCCAUCCAAAUAUAUUAUGUAGAGUAUACCGACAGAAGGAAAAUGCACUAACCAUCAGGGUGGCAUUGACCAAAAUGUAUAUGAUUGUUGAAAAUCUCACAUAAGCUUGUGAUUUCAGAAUGUAAGAUUUACAUAGGCACGUCCUGGGCUCAGGGUAUUUGACAAAUAACCUUAUAGAUAUCAUCGCCGAUAUAAUCCAAUUAACGCAUUCUGAAUUGCAAGAUGAAAUUCACAACUACAGAUUUAAUAUACCCAUGAAUUGAACCAAAAGUUGCAAAAACCAUCCAGUUGGUCAUUUUUCAAACCAUGUCAAACCAGAUGUACACUCGCAUCCAUCCAAACAUAUUAUGCGGAGUAUAUUGACAGAAGCAAAAUAUACUGACAAUCAGAGGCAUGGCCAUCAAAAGUAUACUGACAGAAGCAAAAAAUAUGCCAAGGGUUAUCUUUGUCAUGCAAGGCUUCUAAGAUUGUGAUGUCUAACUUAAAAGGAAACAUCAGGGCACAAAGAGAAAAAUCAGCAUGGUUCACCACUAACAAUACAAGAUUGCGCCUGCAGUUCGUAGAAAUAGAGAAUUCGCACCUCAGAAGAUCUUCACAUAAAUCUGGGUGAUCCUUCAGCUCGACAACUGGAACAGAAGCAUACUUCGCACCCAGCUUGUUGCAAACAGAGUCUAGCUAUAUAUCUAUAAGAAUAGUCGAAUACAACAUCAUUAGCUUGAACAAAUAUCCUUUAAGCAGUGCCUCAGUAUGUUAUCAGUCCAUAAACACACAGGAAAAUUUAGUCUACUCACAUAAUCCAAAGGCGCAAAGAUUCAGAAUUUCAACUCUCAUUAUCUGCAUGCUUUUGUAACCCAUCCGAAAAACUGAAAGAAAACCAAAGCCUACCAAAAAAAGGAAAUAGAAAAAGGCAUCAGUGUAGGGAUGCACUAUUCUGUCCUCGCUUAAACCAUGUAUUAUAAAUGUCUGGGAUCCCAUGCCAUAACCACACAAUGAUUAGACCAAACAUCGGUCAUCGUGUAAUAAAAGAAAUGAAAUGCUAAAUCAGAUUUAGACUAUCGCCACAUUUAUCAAUCUGACAUCUUGACCUACACACGAAUUAGGAUUUUCUCUGUAAAAUAUAGUGUAAUUUUUUAAACAGGUACAACACAACCACCAGCUAAAUCUACAUGAGUUGGUUGAUUAAUACAUUAAAUCAGUACUGCCCAGUAGAUUUAUGUGCAAUUGGGCAAGCUUCAUGGAAAUAUUCACUUAAUACAUCCUCUAAACUUUUUUGUACUUCUCCUCGACAUCAUCAAACAUCUUAGCAUUUCCUCUUGUCCAUCUAACAAAUUACCAGACACCCAUGACUGGUACAUCACUACCAUAUGUCUGAAGACAUCAAAGACGGCUAAAAUUUCACACCAAAUGAGCACAGAUCAAUGAAUGAAUGAAUUGCACAGAAAAAAUCAUAGUAGAUGGCAGUGGAGACGGGAUGGCUCACCAGGGAACUAACAGGUCCAAGCACCACGAAGAAGCCUCAAUAGCCCAUGCCUGAACCAGCAACAACGAGCAGAGGAAGGGCACAUCCUUCUUGAAGGGGAGAGGGGUGAAGCAAGGCCUCACUUGCCUCGGAUCUGGACAGAUUAAUUAGUCGUCCCUUCCGUUGGGGUCGAAGAGAGGCGAUGGCGUGCCUGGGUGGUCGUCGAAGAAGCGCCGACAAGCAUUGGGGUGCUGAAACAGAGCCCAGCCGGUCGUCGCGCACGACGCAGUGGACGGGGCAUGGCUUCUCCUUCCUCUCGUCUCCUUCACAUCAUCCCUCUCUCUAUCUGGUCUCCUUCACAUCAUCCCUCUCUCUAUCUGCUGCGGGUACAGGAAGAU
This 3037-nucleotide long non-coding RNA is filed under the name Triticum aestivum (bread wheat). RNAcentral's name for it is "long non-coding RNA (TAES_LNC022288)". The record is from RNAcentral. Lineage: Eukaryota; Viridiplantae; Streptophyta; Magnoliopsida; Poales; Poaceae.